ACGCCGACUGGGCCGCCCUGGCCCAGGCAGGCCUGCUCGGCCUCGGCAUCCCCGAGGAGCACGGCGGCGACGGCCUCGGUCUCCUCGAGGUCGGCGUGC
RNAcentral lists this transfer RNA (99 nucleotides) under uncultured Nocardioides sp. RNAcentral's name for it is "tRNA-Pro". The record is from RNAcentral. Lineage: Bacteria; Bacillati; Actinomycetota; Actinomycetes; Propionibacteriales; Nocardioidaceae.